Molecule: RNA transcript, 1110 nt
Organism: Puntigrus tetrazona (Sumatra barb)
Lineage: Eukaryota; Metazoa; Chordata; Actinopteri; Cypriniformes; Cyprinidae
Gene: cntd1
Gene name: cyclin N-terminal domain containing 1
Exons: 8
Source: RefSeq, a predicted model, not a curated record
CGGUGUUUUCGUUGGCCGGCGGUCAGCAGAUGAAGCCCAGGUUUGGAGAGGUAUCUUUAGACAUUUUAACCGACAUUCUGUCCAACCUCAACAAGAGAAACAAGCUUCACCUGGAGAACGUGUCAGAUCUGUGCGGGUGUCUUAAAGACAGCAGGCUAGUGGAGAGUGUGUUUGGUCUGUGUGAGGAGCUGCGAGUGAGUCCUGCGGUCGGAUAUCAGGCCGUCGAGAUACUGGAGAGGUUUAUGGCUAAGUAUACUGAAGAUCUAAUCCGCAGCCAGGAAGGUCAGGGAUCCGAGGAGCUCAUCUUCCAGACGCUCAAGCAGAAGUUCUUUCUGUCCGUCCUCUCGAGCGUCCAGAUAGCCAGCAAACUGGACCUGUACUCCAACGUGGUGAACAACGAGCUUGCGGUCAGAUUUCUGCAGGCUGCCGGUCACUCUUCCACCAAACAGCAGCUCUUGGACUCUGAGAUUCUCAUUUUAAAAACUCUCAACUUCAACUUGAACGUCCUGAAUCCUUUAACGUACGUGGAGACCCUGUUGGAGGUGCUGGGCCGUAACGAAGCGAGGGUCCCCGUGGCUCAGCUUCAUCAGCUGUGUGUGUGUGUUCUGCGGUUCGUUUACCUCCAGAGGGAGACAAUCUACCACGCUCUGCUCAGAUCCGCCACCGGACGCUCCAGUCCUUCUCACGAGCAAAGAGCCAGGUUCGUGUCUGUGACCGAGGACCUCAUGCUUCUGGGAGUUGGAGUGAUUGCUGUGGCCUCCUUCAUUCAUCACAUCUCAACGUGGGAGAAGGUGGUGGAGGAGCUGACGGGAAUUACAGGCAUCUCUGGAAACAGCAUCAAGGAGUUUGCGUGUGUCACCCUGACGCACCUCACCCAGACCAGGUCCGUCUGAAGCCUUCUUCUCAGGAUGAACGGAUCAGAGCUGGAGUAGAUAGAAGACAACUCCUCCGGAGCCGCUAUCAUGGGGAAGAUCAGAAAAUGGAAGCUGUCCUCGGCCCCCGGUCGGGGCCCGUCGCGGCCCCGGAGGAAGAGCGUGGAGGGCCUGUGCGCCGGCACUCUUCUAGGGGUCCUGCACACUCGGACCUGGUUACUGGACGCUCAGCUGCUGU